GUACAAAAAAAAUUUAUUUUCUUUGGGACCGUUUGAGUGUUAGUAAACUUCCAAACGGACUACAAUGGAUUUAUGUUUAAGUGCAAUUUUUAUGUGUCAAAUUAAAUUCGGUGAUUUCAAAACCACAUACUCAGGCACUUACUCGUGUGUACUUAUGCUCAUAUAUACGUAUUUAAACGCAGCUCUGUUGAAUUUCUCUACAUUUUCGCUAAUGUAUUGAGCCAGAGCAGAGUGAAAACGUUGAGUGAAGGAUGCUCUGAAUUCAGUUGGUGGCGAACUUUCUGGCGUUGAAGUCAGCGAAUUAUCGCCCACAUUUGCAAACAGUGAUAUCAAUUACAUGCCGAGCGCACAACUUAUUCGAGCGCACCAGAACGCUUAGCCAGUGAUGAGCCUGUCAAACGCAGUGAAGAGGCUCAACCCAUGUAAACCAACACCUGGGCUUCCCAUACAUUAAUUUGAAGCAGCUUUUGACCGAGCCGUUUAAACUCCAACGAACCACACAAACAUACACUUAGACACAUACAUUUGUAUGCACAUACACGUACAUUUUAUAAAUGCAAAUCCAAAUACAAAUAAAAGCGAAACAGACAAGCAAAGAAGCUGAGUUGAGAACAAUACACAACUAAGCCUUUGAUAAAUUACGUUGUGUCCUGCAUGAGCCAAGAGUGCCCAUCAACGUGUAUGUUGGUCAGUAUUACUUAUAGUAGAAUAAGCUAUUCUUGUGCGGCUUAUCGGCAACGAUGGAAGCGAAUGAAUGAAUCUUUUAAAAUCCAUUAAUCGCAUAUAUGUAUAUAUGUACAAAAACCGUUAGAUUGGAUUUCGAAGUGAAUCGAAAGUGGAAAAAUAAUUAACAGUGCUCGACGUGGCGACCGGCUAAUGGGACCAACAGGAGGCAUCACAAUAAAUAUUCAGCAAACCGAAAGAUUUCAGUGGUAUUCAUUUUAAAAUAUUUGAAAUUGAUCUCGGUGUUUGCUAUUAGAUUUAAAACAAGUUUAAAACAUCAAAAUUGGCAUAUACACAAAAUAAAAUGGCGAUGGAAUGGAUAACAGCGAUGGACAAACGUCCUUGUGAUCGGAAUUUACGGGAUGUUGAAUUGAUAUCCUGCCGUCUGCGACGUGUGGAGCCAUUGUGCCGCCUGCCCAGCUCGGCAUUACAGCAAUUGGCCAUGUGCGGCUUCUAUGAAGACUUGGAGAAAGGAGUGACUUUAUUUCGUGCCGGUGAACAAGGUCGCUUUUGGUACGCGGUUCUUGGAGGUUCGCUUGAAGUUCGUUACCAUGCUUCCGAUGCCGAUGCCAAAGCACCAGUAACAUUGUGCACCCUUGGUGUCGGAGCCACAUUUGGUGAGAGCAUUUUACAUGAUCUACCACGAGACAGCACUGUCGUCACGAAAACAACCUGUGAGCUGCUUCGUGUAGAACAACAAGAUUUUCGGCUGAUCUGGGAGAAGAAUAAAGAAUUGAUAAAUGACAUUAUUACCACAUGUAAAUUAAAAAAUGGUUUCGGCUCCGGUGUUUCUCCAGUAGCAUCGUCACCAACUAAGCGCCCUUUAAGCCCAGAUCAUCCAAAUCCCGCAUUGCCAAUUUCCGAGUCUCCGAGUCCUGCUAUGAACCGCAUGGGAAGGGCUUUACGUACACUUCUCCUUGCUGACAGUUCAAGUUGCCUGAAAGAUAGGAAGGUUGCUGGAAAACUCAUUCGGAAAUGUGCACCAGGUACGGAGUUAGUGGAUUGGCUGCUGAAUUUGUCACCCAUCGUUCACACACGAGCCCAGGCAGCUGGCAUGUGGCAAGCACUGCUCGAAGAAGGCGUACUCUCACACGUAAAUAAAGAGCAACCUUUCAAGGAUAAAUGUUUCUUGUAUCGGUUUCGUGUUGAUGAGGAUAGUGCGACUAGCAGCUACUCAACGUCUGAGGAUAUUAAUACAGCUAACGAGCAUAUUCGUGAGUCUAUUAGCGCACUUCUCCAACGCGGACCUGAUGCCACACUACGAAUGAUUUUGCGCAAACCAUCACACGAACGUACACCUGAAGAACUGGAAUUAAUUUUUGAAGAGCUCUUACACAUCACAGCUCUUUCGCAUUUGUCCACAAGCAUUAAGCGAGAGCUCUCCUCAAUUAUUGUUUUUGAAUCACAUGCCCAGGCUGGAACUAUUCUAUUUAAUCAGGGUGAUGAAGGUCGGUCAUGGUAUAUUUUACUCAAGGGCUCCGUGGAUGUUGUGAUACACGGCAAGGGCACUGUGGCUACUCUGAAGAAUGGAGACGAUUUCGGCAAACUCGCAUUAAUUAACGACGCACCCAGAGCUGCUACGAUCGUGUUAAAAGAAAAUAAUUGUCAUCUUCUACGUGUUGAUAAGGAGCAUUUCAACCGUAUUUUACGCGAUGUUGAAGCCAACACGUUAAGACUACAGGAGCACGGCAAGGACGUAUUAGUAUUGGAGCGAGUAGCUAAGCAACGGGGUCAACAUUCGGCAUUUAAAUAUACGGUCAUGUCAGGAACACCAUCAAAGAUAUUGGAACAUUUGCUGGAGACUCGCCUCGGUAACCAAGUGAGCAGCUUGGACCCCUUCUUGGACGAUUUCUUAUUAACCAACAUGGUUUUCAUGCCAGUUAUUCAACUUGUGGAUGAAUUAGCCAAUUAUUUCCAUUGUGAUGUGAAUGAUGCGGCACAAACCCCCGAAGACCGGGAAUAUAUUAUUAAUUUCAAGAAGCGCGUUAUACAGUUCAUGCAUAAAUGGGUGCUGGUCGCGCGACAUACCGCAUUGGAUGAGCCUUGUGUCUGUGAUUUUAUUGAGGAAAUGGCCCUGGAGGUAGAGGCUAAUCCGGAAUUGAGUGAGGAAACAAGCAAUAUACACAAUCUGCUUACACAAAAAGCUCGAUAUCAAGAGGACCGUAAGCAAAAUUCUGCACAGAAAUGGAAGCUGCCACCAAAUGGUCAACCCGUGUGCUUGUUUAGCGGCAAUACAACAUCGUCGAGAAAUACUAUGCAUCCCGACGACGAUAUUAUCUUCAGAGUAUACUGCGCUGAUCACACCUAUUGCACAUUACGCUUUCCCCUGCACACAACCGCCGAAAUAAUUAAAGCAUGUGCCGCUGAGAAGCUACAAUUAAAUAGAGGUGCUGAGGAUCUAGUUUUGGUCGAGGUUAAAUCGAAUGGAGAGCGUGCAGUCUUCAAAGAUAACGAUGUUAGCAUUCCCACAGGACUCAGCUUAAAUGGACGACUUUUUGUGACAGUCAAAGAUCACGUGGACGCCGUGACACCACUUCCAGAACAAGAAGGUCCCACUGAAGGUAUAGACAUUGAUCUGGAAAUUUUAAGCACUAAAGACUUAGCUUUCUACAUUACAAUCUAUGAUUGGGAUCUUUUUUGGGUAGUACAUGAGUACGAGCUUCUCUAUCGAACAUUUGGAAGACAUCACUUUGGCAAAAUCACCGCCAAUCUGGACGUGUUUCUACGUCGCUUCAAUGAACUGCAAUAUUGGAUCGUAACCGAUAUCGUUUCCGCAAGCAGCAUGAGCAAACGCGUCGGAUUAUUGAGAAAGUUCAUUAAAUUAGCAGCAUACUGCAAGGAAUAUAAUAAUUUGAACGCUUUCUUUGCCAUCGUUAUGGGUCUUUCAAAUAUGGCAGUUUCGCGCUUAACUCAAACCUGGGAUAAAAUUCCUUCGAAAUUUCGCAAGUUAUUUCAGGAAUUCGAAGCCCUCAUAGAUCCCAGCCGUAAUCAUCGAGCUUAUCGUGUUUACGUUGGUAAACUACAGCCGCCUUUGAUUCCGUUUAUGCCACUUUUACUCAAGGAUAUGACUUUCGCCCAUGAGGGAAAUAAAACCAGUUUGGAUGGAUUGGUUAAUUUCGAGAAAAUGCACAUGAUGGCCCAGACCAUGCGCACAAUGCGUUACUGUCGCUCGCGAACCAUAAAUCACUUCAUAGGUCUUGAUCCACCAUCACCCAAGAGUGAAGGGGAUGCGCGAUCGUAUAUUUGUUGUCUGCGCGCAAUUGACAACCAACGUGUUUUAACAGCCAUGUCACAAAAACUCGAACCAACACGCAAAGUCUAAAGUAAAUAAGGAAACACAAACAAUCAAUAACACCAUAGAAAUGAAACAAAUUCAUGAAAAGUCGAGCUGCAAAUCCGUGAAGAAGUAUUCAUGUUUUAGUCUUUGAUACUCCCUUUGCUCAAAGGUCCUCAAUGAAAUUAUAUGACAAUUGGAAUACUUUUUAUCGACAAAAGCUCAUAUUUAAAAGUAACUUGGAUCCAUUUCUCCAAAUGCCUGGAAUUCAUCUUUAGCAAUUUGUUUUUUUUUUUCUUGCAAUUUUUUCAAUGAUAAUCUGAUAUAAUGACAAUAUCUCAAAAAAAUCAAGUAACAGAAUGAAAAUUUAAGAGCACAUCUAAUCAAUAUUUGAACACUACUUCACAACUAUCCAUGUAUACGUGCUCUUUGGAAAUUUUCAAUAGAUGGAAGGAUAUUCCCAACAGCGAUGCUUAUCAUAUACUGGAAUAUGCAUACAUAAAUUUCUAAAUAUGCCCCAAUAGUGAUCCACUGAAUAAAUGUAGAUUAUUGCAAUUCUGCAAUAAUUUUAAAACUACCAAUCUUCGGCGUUAUGUAGGCGGCGACAAAAUUGUAUUUCAGGCCUAUUCUCACUGUUACCGGUAAAGCAAAUUUUGUUGGCCUGUUGAAGUCUUCUAAACUAUUGGAUUGCAAGUUGUUUUCUUAAAUAUUACUUAAUUACUUACAAGAGUAUCAAAUCAAUUGCCAACGCAUGCUUUUUGUGGAUAAUCCAUAUUUUAUACUAAUUUACUUGGGCAAUGGCUAAUUACUGUUGAGUUGCUUUAAACAAAGGCCAAAGGAUAAACUACUGUCACUAGAGAAAGCGCCUCAUACCAUAAGCCUUGCACCACUGAAGUUCUGUUCAUAGAAAGAACCGGUACCCAAAAAAAUUUUCUUCCCCGGAAAGCUGUACGGAACUGCGGUGAUGGAAGCUCUGUGGUGUGUGGCGCUUUUUCUAGUUGUGGCAUUCUUCCCUUGACCUUUUAUUCACUGCCCGAUAAUCAUUUAUUCACAUUUUGGAAAAGAAACCAGAACAAAUGGUGUAUUUUCAUUGAAGAUAACCCCGCUGUUAUGGUAAUAGGUUAGCAAAGGUUUAGUGGAGUGAUAAUGGAGUAGACUUUCUUAGGUGUCCUGCUUGGUUUUCUAAUCAAUUCCGUCUAGAAUCUUUGAGUCUACACGCACUUGUAAUAGUUCAAUGGUAUGCAGGACUUAAAAAGGGCAGUCUUCUAGAAUGAUUUUUCCUUGGACACCCUCAAAACUGAAAUAUCCCACGUCUUAAACAAAAUAGCAGUUCUGAAAGGGAAAUGGUAGUUCUUAGAUAUAUAGUAAAACAAAAUAGAUAAAAUUAGAAAUAAAAUACUCUAAUUAAUUUUUCGUGGUGAUGAUGAGGGGAUGGAAAAGCUAGAUUUCGCUUUUUUCUACAUAACGCCGAAAUAUAGGUCUAACAACUAGGAAAAAAAUCUGUUUUUCACACGUUAUUUACUUUUUCAAAAUAUUUAAUUGCCACACAGUCAGUAAUUUUGAAGGAAUCGUUUGUAUGUAUGGAGUUAUAUGUGCAUAGAUAUGCAUAUAUAGAUAAAAAUCUGCUCAUAUUGAACUAAGCAGUGAACGUAUUGUGAUGACUAAAAUCGGACUAAUGUGGACUCAAACUUACAAUAAAAUGACAACACGAAUUUGGGCUAAAAUAACAAAACAUUUAGAUUCAAUUUCUAUCCCGAAUAUUGUUUCAAGUCCAUUUAAAAUAAAAUAAAUAAAAAUAAAACUAUUUUCGAUAUAUUUGUAUUCUAUAAUGCUAUUAUAGAAUACUUUCGAAAGCUUUUAAUUUAUUUAAUUUUUUUGUUGUUGUAAAAUUCCAUAAAUG
This 5897-nucleotide unclassified non-coding RNA is filed under the name Ceratitis capitata (Mediterranean fruit fly). Its description in RNAcentral is "rap guanine nucleotide exchange factor 4, transcript variant X3". Lineage: Eukaryota; Metazoa; Arthropoda; Insecta; Diptera; Tephritidae. The record is from RNAcentral.